This 72-nucleotide transfer RNA is filed under the name Phycisphaerae bacterium SM23_30. RNAcentral describes it as "tRNA-Thr". It matches the Rfam family "tRNA". Rfam says of the family: Transfer RNA (tRNA) molecules are approximately 80 nucleotides in length. Their secondary structure includes four short double-helical elements and three loops (D, anti-codon, and T loops). RNAcentral also lists the same sequence under 1 other name. Lineage: Bacteria; Pseudomonadati; Planctomycetota; Phycisphaerae. The record is from RNAcentral.
GCCAGCGUAGCUCAACGGUAGAGCUCCCGCCUUGUAAGCGGGUGGUUGUCGGUCCGACUCCGACCGCUGGCU